GCUUCUCCUCAACUCUCUCUGGAAGGUGCAGAAAGCAAGGACCAAGUGUUUCAGCCUUCCACAGUGGCAUCUUCAGAGGGAGCUGUGGUGGAAAUCUUCUGUAAUCACUCUGUGUCCAAUGCUUACAACUUCUUCUGGUACCUUCACUUCCCGGGAUGUGCACCAAGACUCCUUGUUAAAGGCUCAAAGCCUUCUCAGCAGGGACGAUACAACAUGACCUAUGAACGGUUCUCUUCAUCGCUGCUCAUCCUCCAGGUGCGGGAGGCAGAUGCUGCUGUUUACUACUGUGCU
RNAcentral lists this long non-coding RNA (291 nucleotides) under Homo sapiens (human). RNAcentral describes it as "non-protein coding lnc-OR4E2-1:1". Lineage: Eukaryota; Metazoa; Chordata; Mammalia; Primates; Hominidae. The record is from RNAcentral.